UUCGCUGCGCCGCCGCCGCCGCCGGGCCCCGAGCUGGGAGGCGGCGGGAGCCGCCGCGUUAAAGGCGCAGGAGCGAACGGGGCCCGCGGCGGGCGGUGGGGAGCGGGGAGCUGCUCCGCUCCCGCCGGGCCUGGCGCCGCCCUGCCGCCACCGGGGCCUGUCACCGCCCCGCGGAUGAGGGGCCCGGCGGCUGUCGCUGCCCUACGGCUGAGGGGUGCCUGUCAUGACCUCAGAGCUGAGGGGGCCUGGGGACCUGUCACCUCCCCACAGCCGAGGGGUCCCAGGGGGCUGUGACUGCCCCACGGCUGAGGGGGCCUGGGGGUCUGUCACCUCCCCACAGCCGAGGGGUCCCAAGGGGCUGUGACUGCCCCAUGGCUGAGGGGGCCCUAGGGGUCUGUCACCACCCCAUGGCCAUGGGGCUCCGGGGUCUUUUACUGCCCCAUGGCUGAGAGGGCCCACGGGGCUGUCAUCGCCUCACAGCUGAGGGGGCCUGGGAGUCUGUCACCUCCCCACAGCUGAGGGGGACCCAGGGAUGUGACUGCCCCACGGCUGAGGGGACCCUAAGGGUCUGUCACCUCCCCAUGGCUGCAGGGUGCCGGGGGGCUGUCAUCAUCCCAUGGCCAUGGAGCCCAGGGGUCUGUCACCUCCCCACAGCUGAGGGGGCUCCGGGGUUGUGACUGCCCCAUAGCUAAGGGGUCCCAGGGGUCUGUCACCUCCCUAUGGCCACAGGGUCCCUGAGGGCUGUCACUGCCCGGUGGCUGAGAGGACCUGGGGGUCUCUCCCCAUCCCUCAGCUGAGGGGUCCCGGGCGCUGUCGCCUCCCCAUGGCUGAGGGGACCUGGGGAGUCUGUCAGGGCUGCAUGGCUGAGGGGUCCCAGUGGUCUGUCAUGUCCCCACAGGCCACCAUGGCCCUCCUCACACCGGCACCCUCCAGCCAAACAUUAUCUCACAGCAGCCGAUGGCCCCUGCCCGCACCCCAGCACUUAAUGCUUUCCCUUGGGAUUUCACAUGCGGCUCAUUAAAUGUCUCCCGCAGGGACCAUCGUGUGUGCAACCAGCCCGGGACUGCGCGGACAGCCCUGCUCCCCAUCACCCUGGGGACGAAGCCUCCCGCCACACCAUCUGGACGAUUAUGGCCCAGGUUUUAUUGCCAUAAGUGCUUUGUGCAAGAGCAACAGUACCCUCCAGAGGGUGCAGUCUUGUCAUCGGAGACUGCGGCGCUCCGGCUGUGCCGUCUCGGUGCCAAAGAUGCCUUCGCUGCCCCACGUCCCCACACAUGGUCGGCAUCAGAGUCGCUCCUGGCUCUCCCCAAAACGACCGGCGGAGACGAGGCCAAGCGUCGCAGGGUCCGUGUAAUUUUUAAAGCUGGCAUGCAUCUGGAGAGAGCGGACAGUCUAGAGGGCAUUCCAGUCGUCAGUGGAACUCAGGAAAUUAUUCAUAGCGGUGGCUCUGCCAAUGACCGGGGCGCGCGGAGACCCCAGCCAGGACCUUGGGGCCCUGUUAUUUUAGACCCGACCUACACAGAAGAGGAGAUGUCAGCGCGCCGAGGUGCGGGGAGAGCGGGAGGAGACGCGGGAGAGGCAGCGGAUGAAAGUUAAUGCCAUCCCAGUUAAAUCGAACCCCAGAAGGUCUCUCGAAGCAUGAAAAAUGCAUUUAUAAGACGCUGGAAGGAAGAUGUGUUCCAUAACUACUCUGGUGACCAGGCGUGCUGACUUGUGUCAUGUGGAGAAGGAACCAAAAGGGGGUAUUUCAUGUUAUUUCAUACCGCUGAUGGGAUUUUAUCUCUCACAGCAAAUCCAGGAACUUUUUAGUUACCAUUAUUGUUUGAUUUUAUGGGCCAUUUGAUAUUUAUUUUUAUUUCUAUUCAUUAUUUGUUGAGUGCACUUAGCCCCUUCCCCAAGGAGCCUGCCUUAUAUCUAAGGUGAUUUUUACGACCAGUGUUAGCACAGCAUCUGAGCAACUCGCACAACUUUAAUAUAUUUAUCCCGCACGCACAGUAUAUCAAGGCAGUCCUGGUAUUCCUACCGUGGAGAGCGGUGGUCUGCCUGUAAAAUCACAAGUCUAACUUACUGGGUUAAAAAAAAAAAGAAUAAACUCCAAAUUAUUUACAUCGUUCUUCUUUCUGAUCUUCAUUGUAAGCUAUCAGAAUGUAUUGGAGUCAUAUUUUCACAUUUUUUCCCUCCCCUACAAAACAUGAGGUCUAGCAAUGUAC
Phalacrocorax carbo (great cormorant) is the source of this 2210-nucleotide non-coding RNA. The record is from RefSeq and is a predicted model, not a curated record. Lineage: Eukaryota; Metazoa; Chordata; Aves; Suliformes; Phalacrocoracidae.